Ricinus communis (castor bean) is the source of this 158-nucleotide non-coding RNA. NCBI's taxonomy places the organism in Eukaryota, Viridiplantae, Streptophyta, Magnoliopsida, Malpighiales, Euphorbiaceae. The record is from Rfam.
GACUCUCGGCAACGGAUAUCUCGGCCCUCACAUCGAUGAAGAACGCAGCAAAAUGCGAUACUUGGUGUGAAUUGCAGAAUCCCGUGAAUCAUCGAGUUUUUGAACGUAAGUUGCGCCCGAAGCCCCCACAACCGAUAAUGCGAUGUGCUUAAGGCUCG